This is a long non-coding RNA of Saccostrea cuccullata (small rock oyster), 462 nucleotides long. RefSeq lists it as uncharacterized. The record is from RefSeq and is a predicted model, not a curated record. The transcript is spliced from 4 exons. NCBI's taxonomy places the organism in Eukaryota, Metazoa, Mollusca, Bivalvia, Ostreida, Ostreidae.
AACUAGAAACAAGAUGAAAUCCAUUGAUUUUUCUUUAGGUGGAACUGAAAAGCCUAAAGCUUCAAGGGCAAAGAUGAGGAACGUGGAUGCUCCCGGAAUCAUAGGAAAAUCAGCAACUGGUGAUGGGGAUGAAUCCCAUUAUACAGACAUAUGUGCGCUUGAUAAAGCAAAAACAUACGAAGAACUUUCUCGUGACACCGAGGCUGUUGACAUAAUAUAAGGAAAUGUUCAGAAGUAGAGGUGUCAUAAGUUUACUACUGAGCAACAUUAUCAGAAAACUCUUAUGUUUUCAACAAAUUGCAACCGUGCAUUUGAAUUGUAUAUUCCGCAUUUUUUAAGAUAUUGAUCUUAUCCUGAAGUUUACUUUUAAUUUAAUAUUGAUUAAAGGACUUAAGCAUAGAUAAUUAUAAAUUAAGCUUGAUUGAAUGACCAGCAAAUUUCUUUAUCAGAAGCAUGUUUGUA